RNAcentral lists this ribosomal RNA (411 nucleotides) under uncultured bacterium. RNAcentral's name for it is "bacterial SSU rRNA". It matches the Rfam family "Bacterial small subunit ribosomal RNA", at positions 362 to 773 of the family's 1533-position model. The record is from RNAcentral.
UCUUGCGCAAUGGCCGAAAGGCUGACGCAGCGACGCCGCGUGGGGGAGGAAGGCCUUCGGGUCGUAAACCCCUGUUGCCCGGGACGAACCCCUGGUUUCGACCAGGUUGACGGUACCGGGUGAGGAAGCACCGGCUAACUCCGUGCCAGCAGCCGCGGUACUACGGAGGGUGCGAGCGUUGUCCGGAAUCACUGGGCGUAAAGGGCGCGUAGGCGGUCCAGUAAGCGUGUGGUGAAAGCUCGGGGCUCAACCCCGCGUCGGCCAUGCGAACUGCGGGACUCGAGCCCACUAGAGGCAGGCGGAAUUCCGGGUGUAGCGGUGGAAUGCGUAGAGAUCCGGAAGAACACCGGUGGCGAAGGCGGCCUGCUGGGGUGGAGCUGACGCUGAGGCGCGACAGCGUGGGGAGCAAAC